RNAcentral lists this transfer RNA (67 nucleotides) under Crystallias matsushimae. RNAcentral's name for it is "tRNA-Arg". It matches the Rfam family "tRNA". Rfam says of the family: Transfer RNA (tRNA) molecules are approximately 80 nucleotides in length. Their secondary structure includes four short double-helical elements and three loops (D, anti-codon, and T loops). Further hydrogen bonds mediate the characteristic L-shaped molecular structure. tRNAs have two regions of fundamental functional importance: the anti-codon, which is responsible for specific mRNA codon recognition, and the 3' end, to which the tRNAs corresponding amino acid is attached (by aminoacyl-tRNA synthetases). tRNAs cope with the degeneracy of the genetic code in two manners: having more than one tRNA (with a specific anti-codon) for a particular amino acid; and 'wobble' base-pairing, i.e. permitting non-standard base-pairing at the 3rd anti-codon position. The record is from RNAcentral. Lineage: Eukaryota; Metazoa; Chordata; Actinopteri; Perciformes; Liparidae.
AGAUAAUUAGUUUAAAAAACCUUUGAUUUCGACUCAAAAAUUUAUGGUUAAAAUCCAUAAUAAUCUA